AGUUUGCGGCAUCCUGUGGUAUAGGGGAAGCGCUCCGGGCCUGGAAUCCCUACGCGUCCCGUUGGGUUUAGCACGAUGAGCUCAAUCGGCACUGGGUAUGACCUGUCAGCCUCUACAUUCUCUCCUGACGGAAGAGUUUUUCAAGUUGAAUAUGCUAUGAAGGCUGUGGAAAAUAGUAGCUAUUGGAAUCAGAUGCAAAGAUGGUGUUGUCUUUGGGGUAGAAAAAUUAGUCCUUUCUAAACUUUAUGAAGAAGGUUCCAACAAAAGACUUUUUAAUGUUGAUCGGCAUGUUGGAAUGGCAGUAGCAGGUUUGUUGGCAGAUGCUCGUUCUUUAGCAGACAUAGCAAGAGAAGAAGCUUCCAACUUUAGAUCUAACUUUGGCUACAACAUUCCACUAAAAGUAAGUUGAUAACAUAUUGAGGAACCUUUUGGACAGUAAUAGAAGUUUAUUAAUAAGCUCUUCUGCUUCCCUCCAUAGCAUCUUGCAGACAGAGUGGCCAUGUAUGUGCAUGCAUAUACACUCUACAGUGCUGUUAGACCUUUUGGCUGCAGUUUCAUGUUAGGGUCUUACAGUGUGAAUGACGGUGCGCAACUCUACAUGAUUGACCCAUCAGGUGUUUCAUACGGUUAUUGGGGCUGUGCCAUUGGCAAAGCCAGGCAAGCUGCAAAGACGGAAAUAGAGAAGCUUCAGAUGAAAGAAAUGACCUGCCGUGAUAUCGUUAAAGAAGUUGCAAAAAUGUAAGUUGAAAUUUUUCUUACCAUCCACAAAAAUAUUUCACUUGACCUUUGCAUAUAUAUAUUACAUUAAUCCUAAGAAGCUGUUUUCCUGUAAAAUAACUUAGUGAAUAAUUUUUAGAAGGUAAAUUUAACAUUCUAAGAAGCCUCACGAAGGAAGAAAAUGUUUUUAAGCAAUAUUUUUUAGUAGUAAUGAAUAGGAUGGGGAAAAUAGCUUGACAAAAUAAACUGCUGUUACAGGUUAAGGACAUAUACCAUUAGGGUCUUAAUUUGUUAGCUCCCAACUUCUCAAAUCUCUUAAGUCCUAAUAAUAGUAAUCUUAAGAUUGCCUCUAUUGUAAGAAUGCUUACAAACUUUAUAGGUUACAACUAAUUAUUUCAAUACAUGAUCCAUGAAGCUGGCUCAUUUAUAUAAUCUGCUAUUUAUUUGGGAAAGAUAUGUUUCACUUUUUCAGGUUUAUUAUAAAAGUUCCUAUAACAAGGUAAGAAGAGCAGUAUUACAAAACAUUUCAAAAACCAGCUUAAGAAACCCUGAAUAGUUUAUUACAGGUAUAUAAAGUAGAAUACUAUUAAUAUGUAACAGGUAUUUGGACAGUAAACAAUAAAAAAGUCAAUUAACCUGG
RNAcentral lists this small RNA (1357 nucleotides) under Pan troglodytes (chimpanzee). RNAcentral's name for it is "retained intron". Lineage: Eukaryota; Metazoa; Chordata; Mammalia; Primates; Hominidae. The record is from RNAcentral.